Molecule: unclassified non-coding RNA, 383 nt
Filed under: Hevea brasiliensis (rubber tree)
Lineage: Eukaryota; Viridiplantae; Streptophyta; Magnoliopsida; Malpighiales; Euphorbiaceae
Source: RNAcentral
UCCUGCAUUCAGAACAGAUGUUUACUUGUAUAUUUUCUGAAAUAAUUAACUGGUUGAGUGACAUAAUUAACCGUCAGGCUCAAAGAACUGUAAGGAGUGGUUGCAAGGUCAAAAGCUGAUUGUAGAUGCACCUAGUUCUUGUGUUUUUCUUUUGGGGAUACAUUGAUUCUUUUGUGUUUAGUUAACUCUUUAAUGGUAGCUGAUGGAAUUUUCAUCUCUUUUAUUUUGUUGCUGCAGCUGACCCUACGGAGGGUCAUGGAUACAGCAAAGCAAGUCACCAGAUCUGGAAACUUGAACGAGUUUUCAAUGGUUUUGCUAAAUAAUACCCUAUCAUUACCUUUGGGAAUUAUUCUUAUUUACGUUUUCAAUGAGGUGGAAUAUCU